AUGCCAGACUUCCCUGGGACACCGGACGUCGAGGUCCUUGAUGGCCCUGACAAGCCUGCUGCGAAGCCGUUCGACAAGCCAUUUGACCCCGUCCAUGAUAGGAAGAGGAAGAGAGGAGGCCUGAUGGAGGAGGAGAUCAAUGUCUUUUGCAGCAUAACUGAGGCAGUGAAGGAGGUGGCAACAUCUAUUAGGGAGUGCAAGCCCCUCGACGUCCACACUGACCUGUAUGGCGCUGUCAUGACCCAGGGUGGAUUCAGCGACGAGGCUCUCAUGGCAGCUCUCAGCCACCUGCUUGACAACAAGGCCCAGGGUGUUGGGUUCGUUACCAUGGCCGACGCUCACAGGGGCAAGUGGUAUGCCGUGUUCAUUGGUGAGGUUCCAAGGGUUUAUAGUUCAUGGGAAGAAGCCAAUUCACAAGUGGCAUCGUAUAGCAACAGCAACUAUAGAGGGUUCAAGACUAGGCAGGCAGCAGAACAAGCUUACUCCGCCUGA
RNAcentral lists this ribosomal RNA (492 nucleotides) under Triticum aestivum (bread wheat). RNAcentral's name for it is "partial small subunit ribosomal RNA". Lineage: Eukaryota; Viridiplantae; Streptophyta; Magnoliopsida; Poales; Poaceae. The record is from RNAcentral.